AUACGUAGGGGGCGAGCGUUGUCCGGAAUGAUUGGGCGUAAAGGGCGCGUAGGCGGCGCGGUAAGUCUGGAGUGAAAGUCCUGCUUUCAAGGUGGGAAUUGCUUUGGAUACUGCCGCGCUUGAGUGCAGGAGAGGUUAUCGGAAUUCCCGGGGUAGCGGUGAAAUGCGUAGAGAUCGGGAGGAACACCAGUGGCGGAGGCGGGUAACUGGACUGCAACUGACGCUGAGGCGCGAAAGUGUGGGGAGCAAACAGGAUUAGAUACCCUGGUAGUCCACACUGUAAACGAUGAAUGCUAGGUGUAAGAGGUACCGCCCCCCUUUUGUGCCGGAGUCAACACAAUAAGCAUUCCGCCUGGGGAGUACGGCCGCAAGGUUGAAACUCAAAGGAAUUGACGGGG
Molecule: ribosomal RNA, 398 nt
Filed under: uncultured bacterium
Lineage: Bacteria
Description: partial 16S ribosomal RNA
Rfam family: Bacterial small subunit ribosomal RNA
Source: RNAcentral